GGAAAAUUUCCAGACCAACCAAUUCACAUCGUGUAUGUUCCUUCUCACCUCCAUCAUAUGCUCUUUGAACUGUUUAAGAAUGCAAUGCGGGCAACAGUUGAACACCAGGAAAAUCAGCCUUCCCUUACACCAGUUGAGGUUAUUGUUGUCUUGGGAAAAGAAGACCUUACCAUUAAGGUAACCAUUCUCUGUUUUUCUUUUGGGUGUCUCUUGAGAGAAUUAAAUAGGGUCAAUAGUAAUAAAGCUCUCUGCUUUUUGCAAUAGAUAACAGUCAUAUAUGCCAGGUGAUUUUUAAAUGAAGGAAAACCAUUUUUAUUUAGACAAAUGCACAUUGUUUUUAAUGUGUGGCUCUGAUGACUUGUUUGUUUUAGAUUUCAGAUAGAGGAGGUGGUGUUCCCCUGAGAAUUAUUGACCGC
RNAcentral lists this small RNA (416 nucleotides) under Pongo abelii (Sumatran orangutan). RNAcentral's name for it is "retained intron". Lineage: Eukaryota; Metazoa; Chordata; Mammalia; Primates; Hominidae. The record is from RNAcentral.